AAUACAACAUAAAACCCACCCUCUCCCUUCUCUGUCUCUCUCUCUCUCUAAAAAAUACACCUGCAGUCUUCGCCAUCACCAUCUCUGCUUCCUCUCUCUCUCCAUUGCUCUUCCUCUAUAUACAUACAUACAUACAUCUGUAUAUUGUGUUAGGGUUCGUGUUUUCUCGCUCUAGAAGAAGAGUGAGAUUCGUUCGUUUUCUCUCUCUAGAAGUUGAUGGAGUAGUCUCUCUCUCUCUCUCUCGCUCUAAUGGCGACUGUGCCUGUGAAGUCUCAGCCUCUGCACAACUUCUCUCUUCCCUUAUUGAAAUGGGGCCACAAAAACCAGAUGAACUCCAACCACCGGUAUCGCAGGCACUCGGAGACUCCGGAGCGCCACCGCUCGCCGCCGUCGGACCAGGACUCCGACGGUGGAGGUGGUUUCAAGAACGAGUGGGAGUUUGAGAAUCGGAGGUUUUCGGUCGGAUCGCGGAGCGCACAGAAGAACCGGUUCUCAUUCGCGUCCUGUUCGUCGCUGAACCAAGAAGCGGUGGUUUUAGUGGAUGGAGAGAGAGAGAAGGAAAAGGUCUGCGAUGAGGUUGAGGCCGAGGAAUCAUCGAUGGCGAAGCCGUGGAAUCUAAGGCCGAGAAAGGCUGUUGCGAAAGCUGCGGUGGAGAUCGGAGGGGUUUCGAAGAAUGGAGAAUUGCAGGAAAGUUUAUCUGCAAUUCCGGUUGUGCAGCAGACGGAGAAUCUUCCGAAAUCGAUGAGGUUGAGAGGUUUUGUUGAAGGUCAUGGCUCGGAGAAGAAGGAGAAGAGGAAGUUCUGGAUCGCGCUUUCUCGGGAGGAGAUUGAAGAGGAUGUGUACGCGAUGACUGGGUCGAAACCAGCUCGGAGGCCGAAGAAGAGACCAAAGUCUGUACAAAAAUAUGUCGAUAAUGUUUUCCCUGGCUUGUAUUUGGCGGGGGUUAGUGCUGAUGCUUACCGAGUUCAUGAUGCUUUGAGGUAGAUGUGAUGGCAAACAAUUGAAGAUUGGAAAGCUUGUUCCUGCUACAUUGAGGCCUCAAUUGGAGCAGACGUAUGUCUCGGGAGAGUAUUAUAUCAAGUCUUCUGAAGACUUGAUCAAGUCACCAACUAGGUGUGUGUUUGAUGUGCAUGCACCACAUCUGUUCUUACACUUCCAAGUAUUUUGUACUCGGCAAUGUGGAUAUAUUCUAUUGAAAAGAGAGAAGUGCCAACAAAGAUACUCAAUAGCAUGUAUUACACAAGGAAAAUUCAAGAGGUUGAAGCUCAUUUUUUGGUAGAUCAGAAAUCUAAGGCUUUGCCGCACUUUCUACAGUAUGUAAAUGCUCCCUGUUGUGCUUAUAGCCUCAAUCGAAUGCUCUCAGUGAGGCUUUUAGAAACAUGGAAGCCAGAUUCUGUACUGAAGGAGAAACCAUUUUGAUGUCAAGUUUUUUGGACGUGCAAAUUUAAAUAUCACGGUCUUGGAGGCUUCUGGUGAACUUGUAUUUUGGACUCGUGAAAGCAUUCUGA
RNA transcript from Camellia sinensis, 1508 nucleotides. RefSeq lists it as uncharacterized. The record is from RefSeq and is a predicted model, not a curated record. NCBI's taxonomy places the organism in Eukaryota, Viridiplantae, Streptophyta, Magnoliopsida, Ericales, Theaceae.